UAAGUCAUGUGAUGUCACCGCUUCUAGUAUGAUAGUGGCCUCACAUUUCUCAGUUUUUCCACUAUGCAAUUAAUUGAUCCGAGCAUUCCUGAAAAUCCUCUCGCCUCUCCAAUAGCCAAUAGUUUCUCUGUAUCCUACAUAUUUAGUUCUCUCAAAUACUCUGGUCUAAACACCUCGACCACAACAUGGGCAAACUUGACAUUAGUCUUCACACACCUACUCUCUUCCAUCCCGAUCAUCCCACCAACAACAUCUGCCGUAGUAUCAAGUGCAAGC
Molecule: long non-coding RNA, 276 nt
Filed under: Hordeum vulgare
Lineage: Eukaryota; Viridiplantae; Streptophyta; Magnoliopsida; Poales; Poaceae
Description: long non-coding RNA (HVUL_LNC001477)
Source: RNAcentral